UAGUUACUCCUCAAAUGUUACAAUGUGUCGC
Molecule: non-coding RNA, 31 nt
Filed under: Mus musculus (house mouse)
Lineage: Eukaryota; Metazoa; Chordata; Mammalia; Rodentia; Muridae
Source: RNAcentral